Molecule: long non-coding RNA, 2558 nt
Filed under: Anolis carolinensis (green anole)
Lineage: Eukaryota; Metazoa; Chordata; Lepidosauria; Squamata; Anolidae
Description: lncRNA (ENSACAG00000041062.1)
Source: RNAcentral
UAAUGUUUAAGUAAAAUCCCUUUUCCUAUAGUUUGGAUCAAAUUAUAGUUAAUAUCUAGGUUGUUGGAUGAUGUUUAUGAUUAAGAUACAAGGUGAUUUAUUUUCCUACAGGAAAUCCUGUGCCCCACCCCAAGGAAUUCAGGUAAUUUGUAUGGGUCAUUUCCAUGUUAUAUGCAGAGAUGCAAAUCACUGUAACACAGCUGUGGAAGGAAUAGAACCCAAACAGGUUAACAUAUAAAGUUAUUUUACAUUGAGAAAGACCACAGGUUCACCUAAUCUAGUGCUGCCUACAAGAGGAAGAGCCAUUCCCCAGUCCUGCUAUCUAACAUCCAUGAACAAUGGCACUGGGGAACAUAUGGCCCUCUCCACAUGUAUUUAAAUUGCAACAUCCAUCACUUUUAGCCAGAGGUGAAUGAUAAUAGAAAUUAAGAGUCCAGCAAAAUUGAAGGAAGCACAUAUUCCUCAUUCCCAUGUAGCAUGAAAUUGGGGACUUCUGCAUGCAGAGCAAAUACUGUAUAUAUUCGAGUAUAAGCUGAACCUAAUAUAAGCCGAGGCACCUAAUUUUACCACAAAAACUGGGGAAACUUAUUGACUCGAGUAUAAGCCGAGGGUGGGAAAUGCAGCAGCUACUGGCAAAUUUCAAAAUGAAAAUAGAUCCCAAUGAAAUUAUAUUGAGGCAUCAGUAGGUUAAAGGUUUGUCAAUAUUUACCGUAUUUCAAAGAAAAACAGUAAACUAGCUCUGUAAGUGGAAAGGUAGGGUCAACAAAAACAAUAUGGUAUAAACAAUAGCAUAAUAAUAAUAAUAAUAAUAAUAAUAAUAAUAAUAAUAAUAAUAAUAUCAAACAUCUAAGAAAUCUCACAAUAUUUUGCAUCUGAUGUACAUGGAUGACCUGAAGCUGUAUGGGAAAAUGGAAACUGAAAUCCAGUCUCUGACUAAUACUGUCCGAAUUUUUAGCACUGAUAUCAGCAUGGACUUUGGUUUGGAGAAAUGUUUGACAGUGGCAUUGAAGAAGGGAAAAAUCAUUGAAAGUGAGGGCAUAAAUAUGCCUAAUGGCCAAACAAUAAAGUGUCACCAGCCAGAGGCCUAUAAAUAUCUGGGCAUAUUACAGCUGGACAACAUCAAGCAUGAACAUGUGAAAACUGUUGGUCAGCAAAGAAUACACACAAAGGGUCAGAAAAAUUAUCAAAAGCAAGCUCAAUGGAGGCAACACCAUCAAGGCCAUAAACACCUGGGCCAUACCUGUCAUAAGAUAUGCUGCUGGCAUCAUAAAUUGGAUACAGGUGUUUAUGGCCUUGAUGGUCUUGCCUCCAUUGAGCUUGAAUUUGAGAAUUUUUCUGACCCUUUGUGUGUAUUCUUUGCUGACCACAGUUUUCACAUGUUCAUGCUUGAUGUUGUCCAGCUGUAAUAUGCCCAGAUAUUUAUUGGCCUCUGGCUGGUGACACUUUAUUGUUUGGCCAUUAGGCAUAUUUAUGCCCUCACUUUCAAUGAUUUUUCCCUUCUUCAAUGCCACUGUUGAACAUUUGUCCAAACCAAACUUCAUGCUGAUAUCAGUGCUAAAAAUUCAGACAGUGUUAGUCAGAGACUGGAUUUCAGUUUCCGUUUUCCCAUACAGCUUCAGGUCAUCCAUGUACAUCAAAUGCGAAAUUUUGUGAGAUUUUUUAGAUGUUUGAUAGCCGAGGUUUGUUUUUUGUAAGAUUGUUGACAGAGGGAUCAUGGCAAUAAUGAAAAGCAGAGGGGACAAUGAGUCUCCCUGGAAAAUUCCUCUUCUGAUGUUGACAAGUCCAUAGCUUUCAUUUCCAACAAACAGUUCAGUUUUCCAGUGCUUAUUAUUAUUAUUAUUUGGCAGCAUAGGCCCAUGUAAACAACAUGGCAUAGCAGUUGUGAUGGUGGAUGAAAAGGCAACUCAUAUGUGAAGCUUAUUGGAGACAACUGUGCCUCAAAGAUCUAUUUGUUAAGUUCAACUGAUAAUUGCCCAAAUCAGAUAUUAUCAGUAGGAGAACAUGCUUUCAAACAGAUUGUUUAGUGAAAAUGUAUUUAUUUAUUUAUUUAUUCAUUCACAUUAUUUCUAUCCUGCCUUUCUCACCCAAAGGGACUCAAGGGGCUUACAGAUCUGGCAAAAAAUCAAUGCCAAAAAACCAACAAUCCAAUCCAAUGAAACAUAUAGCAGUUAAAAAACAAUUUACAUUAGGCAUUAAAACACAUGAGACAAUAUACAAAACCUAAAAUAUAAAAAAAUGCAUACAUCCAUUCAUCCAAAAACCUUGCACAGAAUCCUUGAUCCACACUGUGUCAAAGCCAUAAAAGCUUAUUUGUUAAACGCUUGGGUGCAUAGUGAGGUCUUUAGUUUCUUUCUAAAACCCAGAAGGGAUGGAGCCUGUCAGAUGUCACUGGGGAGGGAGUUCCACAGCCGAGGAGCCACCACUGAGAAGGCCCUGUCUCUCGUCCCCACCAGUCGCACUUUCCAAGGUGGUGGGAUCGAGAGCAGGGCCUCCCCAGAUGAUCUUAAAGUUCCAAUAGGCUCAUAGAAGUAGAUACGUCCAGACAGGUAAGUUGGACC